GUUUUGGAGUCAAGAGAAAGCAUAGACUGCACAGGGCCAAGCUUCCUCCCACUGCCCACUGAUGAGCAGAUUUGAGGGAGGCCCAGGGACUGUAGUGUGAGUAGUGAUAAGACAAAGUCACCCUCCACACUGUCACCCUCUAUAUUGUCACCCUCCAUGCUGUCGCCCUCCAGGAAGUCACCCUCCACACCAUCACAGGCACAUUCUCUUAAUCUUUUUUGGUGUUGUUUGUUUGUUUGUUUGUUUGUUUUUCAAGACAGGGUUUCUCUGUGUGGCCCUGGCUGUCUUGGAACUUGCUCUGCAAACCAGCGUGACCUUAAACUCAAGAGAUUCUCGGGUCUGCCUCAGCCUCCGGAGUUCUGGGAUUAAAGGUGCUGCACCACCACCACCUGGCACCUUAUAAUCUUUUAAGAACUGGACUCAGGAAAAAGAUGAGGUAUAACUGAAGGCUAUAACCGAGUGGUCUUCCUCCAUCUGCCACCAUACCAUCUCACCAAACUGCACGUACCAGCUGAAGUGUCGUGUGGGAAAUAUUUCAUGCUGAAACCAUAUCCAGGAUGCCAGCCUAUGGGAUGGUGCUGCCCACAAUUAGCGUGGGUCUCCCUACCUCAGCUAACCCAAUGGAGCAGCUCCCUCACGGACGUGUCCAGAGGUCUGUCUUCAAGGUGGCUUUAGACCUGCCAAGUUGACAGUAAAUACCAACCACCACACACAACAUUCACGUUCAUUCUUCGGUGGAACCUGCGCUUCUAAAGGGCCAGUGUUUCCACGGGGAUCCUACUCUGGGCUGAUUACCCAGAGACAUGGUGAGGAUGCUUCCCCAGGGCUGCAGGAAGAAGCCAUUGCUAAGGAAAUGAAGAGUCUUCAUUCUUUUCCCGAUGAUCAGUCGCAAUGGUGACAGGGAACACAGACAGGAAUUAAUGAGGCCGAGGUUAACAGGGGCCACACUUCCUGCUGUGCCGCUCUUAUGCCACACCUAGAAGGAGGCUUUAAUGUCAUUUAAUAUAGUAGGAAAUCAAAGCUAAGACAAUUUAAGACACUCCACAUCACAUUGCUAUCACAAUUUGGAGCUGGAAGUGAAACCCCGGUCCAACUACCCAUGCAGGACCAGAUUUAACUGCCGAGUUAAUAAAAAAUAAACACUCAUGAAUGCAAUUUGAGAUAAGGAGAUGAGAUGUGCAGCGGUGGCCUGUGCUCUAAUGAGGCUUCUGGUAAUUGCUUAGAAGUAACUACGGAUUGGAAAGAACUCAUUUCACUGCUAACCUGGAAUCACCGUCUGCACACAACUGGGCCAAGACGUCUUUGAUGAGAACCCAGGGCUCUGAAACACAUGUAAAACGAUUUUAAAUGGUCUUUUCGAUAUGCUUUUCAUUGUAUUUUAUGAAUUCAAUACGAACUUUUGUGUUUUGAAAGUAUCAUGCAUGUUUACAACUUCUUGUGAUCUUAUCUACCCCAAACACCACCUUACUAGGACCCACAAAGUUCUCUUUCUCUCUCAACUUCAUGCCAUCCUCUAAAAUUGUUGUUGCUGCUAAUAACUCCCUGGGUCCAAUUUGUGCUAAUUAUAUGCACGUGGGUAUGAGUCCAUGCACUGGUGGUGGGGGGUUGGGGUGGGCAACCUAACAGUGGGCCACAUCUCCAAGGAAAAGUGAUUCUCUCUCUUCCAGCAGCCAUCACCUUCUCAUAGCUCUACACCCAGGGGUGAGGCCUCAGGAUCCUCUUGCUUACCCUUGCUGGAGUUUUGAACGGCUGGAUGAAGUGCAGGUGACCCCAGCCAAGGUGAUUCUAAAUCUUGUCAAGCUGACAAGGAAGACUAACACCACACCCUCCGUUUGGGGACCCCUCUACAAUGAAGAUGCCACCAGGGAGGAGCUUAUAACAGACAUUUUUCACUUUGAUAAUAAAGCUUAAGGAGCAAUAAUGAAAA
This is a long non-coding RNA of Mus musculus (house mouse), 1927 nucleotides long. RefSeq annotates it as RIKEN cDNA D330037F02 gene. NCBI's taxonomy places the organism in Eukaryota, Metazoa, Chordata, Mammalia, Rodentia, Muridae. The transcript is spliced from 7 exons. The record is from RefSeq and is marked validated.